Molecule: ribosomal RNA, 397 nt
Filed under: uncultured bacterium
Lineage: Bacteria
Description: partial 16S ribosomal RNA
Rfam family: Bacterial small subunit ribosomal RNA
Source: RNAcentral
AUACGUAGGGGGCGAGCGUUGUCCGGAAUGAUUGGGCGUAAAGGGCGCGCAGGCGGCUUUGCAAGUCAGUAGUGGAAGUCCAUUUUUCAAGGAUGGAAGUGCUACAGAAACUGCGGAGCUUGAGUGCAGGAGAGGUUAUCGGAAUUCCCGGUGUAGCGGUGAAAUGCGUAGAGAUCGGGAGGAACACCAGUGGCGAAGGCGGGUAACUGGACUGCAACUGACGCUGAGGCGCGAAAGUGUGGGGAGCAAACAGGAUUAGAUACCCUGGUAGUCCACACUGUAAACGAUGAAUGCUAGGUGUAGGAGGUAUCGACCCCUUCUGUGCCGCAGUAAACACAGUAAGCAUUCCGCCUGGGGAGUACGGUCGCAAGAUUAAAACUCAAAUGAAUUGACGGGG